RNAcentral lists this ribosomal RNA (468 nucleotides) under uncultured bacterium. Its description in RNAcentral is "partial 16S ribosomal RNA". It matches the Rfam family "Bacterial small subunit ribosomal RNA", at positions 28 to 507 of the family's 1533-position model. The record is from RNAcentral.
GACGAACGCUGGCGGCGUGCUUAACACAUGCAAGUCGAACGGAAAGGCCCUGCUUUUGUGGGGUGCUCGAGUGGCGAACGGGUGAGUAACACGUGAGUAACCUGCCCUUGACUUUGGGAUAACUUCAGGAAACUGGGGCUAAUACCGGAUAGGAGCUCCUGCUGCAUGGUGGGGGUUGGAAAGUUUCGGCGGCUGGGGAUGGACUCGCGGCUUAUCAGCUUGUUGGUGGGGUAGUGGCUUACCAAGGCUUUGACGGGUAGUCGGCAUGAGAGGGUGACCGGCGACAUUGGGACUGCGAUACGGCCCAGACUCCUACAGGAGGCAGUAGUGGGGAAUAUUGCACAGUGGGCGGGAGCCUGAUGCAGCAACGCCGCGUGCGGGAUGACGGCCUUCGGGUUGUAAACCGCUGUCGCCUGUGACGAAGCGUGAGUGACGGUAAUGGGUAAAGAAGCACCGGCUAACUACGUG